UCUGACUUCCAGCCAAUAAGUUUGAUUUACGCGGUUGCUAAGAUUAUCGCGAAAAUGAUGGCCACUCGACUGGCCCCUCACAUGCCCGAGCUGGUUUCCAACACACAGAGUGCUUUUAUUAAGAAAAGAAGUAUUCAUGAUAACUUCCUGUAUGUCCGCAACUUGGCCCGUCGAUUUCACCGUGCCAAAUCUCCAACCCUGUUAUUCAAGCUUGGCAUAAAAAAGCCUUCAACUCGGUUCGAUGGGACUACCUCAUGGACUGACUGUGUCACCAUCAUUUCCCAAGUGUUUUUUGUGACUGGAUUUCGACGCUUCUUUCCACGGCCUCUUCCAGGGUGCUCCUUAAUGGUAUUGCGGGUGACCCUAUCAAGCAUGGUCGUGGGCUUCGGCAGGGGGAUCCUUUAUCCCCCUUGCUCUUUGUCCUCGCCAUCGACUCUCUCCUCCACAUUCUCGCAAAGGCCACCGAGCAAGGCAACCUUCACCCGCUAUGUGGAAAUCCGAUUCAGCCAUCUUUGUUGCGCCUAUCAAAGAGGACAUCCAGUUUCUAGCCUCGAUGUUGAGCUGCUUUGGUGA
Molecule: ribosomal RNA, 573 nt
Filed under: Triticum aestivum (bread wheat)
Lineage: Eukaryota; Viridiplantae; Streptophyta; Magnoliopsida; Poales; Poaceae
Description: partial small subunit ribosomal RNA
Source: RNAcentral